Molecule: ribosomal RNA, 331 nt
Filed under: uncultured bacterium
Lineage: Bacteria
Description: bacterial SSU rRNA
Rfam family: Bacterial small subunit ribosomal RNA
Source: RNAcentral
GACGAACGCUGGCGGCGUGCCUAAUACAUGCAAGUCGAGCGAGCGGAACCAACAGAUUUACUUCGGUAAUGACGUUGGGAAAGCGAGCGGCGGAUGGGUGAGUAACACGUGGGGAACCUGCCCCUAAGUCUGGGAUACCAUUUGGAAACAGGUGCUAAUACCGGAUAAUAUUUUGAACCGCAUGGUUCAAAAGUGAAAGACGGUCUUGCUGUCACUUAUAGAUGGAUCCGCGCUGCAUUAGCUAGUUGGUAAGGUAACGGCUUACCAAGGCAACGAUGCAUAGCCGACCUGAGAGGGUGAUCGGCCACACUGGAACUGAGACACGGUCCAG